GAUGAACGCUGGCGGCGUGCCUAAUACAUGCAAGUCGAGCGAACAGACGAGGAGCUUGCUCCUCUGACGUUAGCGGCGGACGGGUGAGUAACACGUGGAUAACCUACCUAUAAGACUGGGAUAACUUCGGGAAACCGGAGCUAAUACCGGAUAAUAUAUUGAACCGCAUGGUUCAAUAGUGAAAGACGGUUUUGCUGUCACUUAUAGAUGGAUCCGCGCCGCAUUAGCUAGUUGGUAAGGUAACGGCUUACCAAGGCGACGAUGCGUAGCUGACCUGAGAGGGUGAUCGGCCACACUGGAACUGAGACACGGUCCAGACUCCUACGGGAGGCAGCAGUAGGGAAUCUUCCGCAAUGGGCGAAAGCCUGACGGAGCAACGCCGCGUGAGUGAUGAAGGUCUUCGGAUCGUAAAACUCUGUUAUUAGGGAAGAACAAAUGUGUAAGCAACUAUGCACGUCUUGACGGUACCUAAUCAGAAAGCCACGGCUAACUACGUG
RNAcentral lists this ribosomal RNA (497 nucleotides) under uncultured bacterium. Its description in RNAcentral is "partial 16S ribosomal RNA". It matches the Rfam family "Bacterial small subunit ribosomal RNA", at positions 28 to 507 of the family's 1533-position model. The record is from RNAcentral.